This 427-nucleotide ribosomal RNA is filed under the name uncultured bacterium. RNAcentral's name for it is "partial 16S ribosomal RNA". It matches the Rfam family "Bacterial small subunit ribosomal RNA", at positions 355 to 774 of the family's 1533-position model. The record is from RNAcentral.
UGGGGAAUAUUGGACAAUGGGCGAAAGCCUGAUCCAGCCAUGCCGCGUGUGUGAAGAAGGUCUUCGGAUUGUAAAGCACUUUAAGUUGGGAGGAAGGGCAUUAACCUAAUACGUUAGUGUUUUGACGUUACCGACAGAAUAAGCACCGGCUAACUCUGUGCCAGCAGCCGCGGUAAUACAGAGGGUGCAAGCGUUAAUCGGAAUGACUGGGCGUAAAGCGCGCGUAGGUGGUUUGUUAAGUUGGAUGUGAAAUCCCCGGGCUCAACCUGGGAACUGCAUUCAAAACUGACUGACUAGAGUAUGGUAGAGGGUGGUGGAAUUUCCUGUGUUGCGGUGAAAUGCGUAGAUAUAGGUAGGAACACCAGUGGCGAAGGCGACCACCUGGACUAAUACUGACGCUGAGGUGCGAAAGCGUGGGGAGCAAACA